CACUGUGAAUAAUAAACGUUAAAUGUCGUUUCUUUGUUUACAGAGCAACACAUCGUUUUAUUCCAUUGUCAAUAAGAUCCGUACAUUAUAAAACGACAUUUUUGUUUAUUGAAGUCAGUUGAAAAUGGAGAAGUUACGUUUCGAAUUUACGGUGCUGCCGGGAAGUGAUGGGAAAUCUAAUAUACUGGCCAUAACCUCAAUAACAACAAGCGA
Molecule: unclassified non-coding RNA, 213 nt
Filed under: Melitaea cinxia (Glanville fritillary)
Lineage: Eukaryota; Metazoa; Arthropoda; Insecta; Lepidoptera; Nymphalidae
Description: misc RNA ENSMCXG00005003544.1
Source: RNAcentral